GGUAGUCAGUACUCCACUCGGUCCAGUGGCAGAAGCAUAAAGCACUAGGCUUGUGGUCCAUUGAUACAAAAGGCCGAAAACGUGCUCCACCCCGGCAAGCAGUGUGUUGGCUCGGCGUUUGAGGGAGUGGGGCGACUGAUAGAUGAAAGGAUGAGCGGUCAAUGUUGACGAGGAAGGUAUGAUACGAGCGGACCUGCAGAUUAAUUCAAACAGAAGAAUUAAAUGCCAGUCAAAGCAUAGAUAUCCAAUGGACUUGGAAAGGAAGCAUCAACAUUGGCGGCCUCUUGUCUGACUCGUAUAUUCCCCAUGAAGCUCUUUCUCAUCCAUGGACGAUGUUAGUUGAAGCUUACUCUGGUCUAUGGACUUUCUUAGGUAAGAAUUUUGUUUAUUGCUAA
Procambarus clarkii (red swamp crayfish) is the source of this 395-nucleotide non-coding RNA. NCBI's taxonomy places the organism in Eukaryota, Metazoa, Arthropoda, Malacostraca, Decapoda, Cambaridae. The record is from RefSeq and is a predicted model, not a curated record.